This 216-nucleotide ribosomal RNA is filed under the name Glomeromycotina sp. RNAcentral's name for it is "partial small subunit ribosomal RNA". The stretch from base 75 to 216 matches the Rfam family "Eukaryotic small subunit ribosomal RNA", at positions 721 to 864 of the family's 1831-position model. Lineage: Eukaryota; Fungi; Glomeromycota. The record is from RNAcentral.
GGGUCAGUAGGUUGGUCGUGCCACCGGUACGUACUGGUCUCACUGAUUCCUCCUUCCUGAAGAACCGUAACGCCAUUAAUUUGGUGUUGCGGGGAAACAGGACUGUUACUUUGAAAAAAUUAGAGUGUUUAAAGCAAGCUAACGCUUGAAUACAUUAGCGUGGAAUAAUGAAAUAGGACGAUCGAUCCUAUUUUGUUGGUUUCUAGGAUUGACGUA